AAACUGGAGAGUUUGAUCCUGGCUCAGAACGAACGCUGGUGGCGUGCCUUAUACAUGCAAGUCGAGCGAGGUCUUCGGACCUAGCGGCGG
RNAcentral lists this ribosomal RNA (90 nucleotides) under Aestuariibacter sp. RNAcentral describes it as "partial 16S ribosomal RNA". It matches the Rfam family "Bacterial small subunit ribosomal RNA", at positions 1 to 101 of the family's 1533-position model. Lineage: Bacteria; Pseudomonadati; Pseudomonadota; Gammaproteobacteria; Alteromonadales; Alteromonadaceae. The record is from RNAcentral.